UUGAUUGGUUGGCUGUGCUUACAUUCACCUUCUUAGCUCAUUCUCUUUGGAGCUUUUUUGACUUCUUCAUUACUUGAGGCUGUAAAUAUGUUGUUGUUUUGCUAAGCCCUUUAGGUCAUGUGGGCUUGGAGGUUAAUUUGGUAUGAUUUUAAAACUGCAGAGCAAAUGACAUUCUUUAGAAGAAUCUGACAAGCUUUGCACAUUCUAAUUUGAUUCCUGGCAUGGUUUAUUCCUCCGUGUGCUAAUGUGUCUGUCCAUGAGAGCUGUGCACCCACGACCCUUCUUGGCUAAUUUUCAUCCUGCAUUUCUGAUCUAGAUUGCUGAGUCCAAAGUUCAGCCCUGAUGUAAGAUGUUCUAUGCAUAAACUUUAAAAUCCUUGUCAUUGGCCACUUUUAAACCAUGAUUACAAACACAUCUUAGGAAAGAUUGGGUCAGUGCAAAGCCCUGCUUUGUUUUUGGAACUGUCACAGUGGGUGGGUUGUUUAAA
Molecule: long non-coding RNA, 487 nt
Filed under: Bos taurus (domestic cattle)
Lineage: Eukaryota; Metazoa; Chordata; Mammalia; Artiodactyla; Bovidae
Description: long non-coding RNA NONBTAT024254
Source: RNAcentral